GGGUGUAUAGUUCAGCGGUAAAGUGAAGAUUGAAAGGUCUCCGGUUCAAACCCGGAUGUUCUCU
This is a non-coding RNA of Trichonephila inaurata madagascariensis, 64 nucleotides long. Lineage: Eukaryota; Metazoa; Arthropoda; Arachnida; Araneae; Nephilidae. The record is from the annotation of a GenBank genome assembly.